Molecule: ribosomal RNA, 471 nt
Filed under: uncultured bacterium
Lineage: Bacteria
Description: bacterial SSU rRNA
Rfam family: Bacterial small subunit ribosomal RNA
Source: RNAcentral
UGGGGAAUCUUGCGCAAUGGGCGAAAGCCUGACGCAGCAACGCCGCGUGAGGGAAGAAGGCUUUCGGGUUGUAAACCUCUUUCAGGAGGGACGAAGCUUCCGGGGUUAAUAGCCUACGGGGUGACGGUACCUCCAGAAGAAGCCCCGGCUAACUACGUGCCAGCAGCCGCGGUAAUACGUAGGGGGCAAGCGUUGUCCGGAAUCAUUGGGCGUAAAGCGCGUGUAGGUGGCUUGGUAAGUCCGGUGUGAAACCUUGGGGCUCAACCCCAAGCCUGCAUCGGAUACUGCCUCGCUCGAGUUCGGGAGGGGAGAGCGGAAUUCCUAGUGUAGCGGUGAAAUGCGCAGAUAUUAGGAAGAACACCGGUGGCGAAGGCGGCUCUCUGGAACGAUACUGACACUGAGACGCGAAAGCGUGGGUAGCGAACAGGAUUAGAUACCCCCGUAGUCCCUGAGCGGGCUGGCAAGGCGCAU